GGGCUAAGUCUGUUGGAAAACAGCAUCAUGGACGGUGACAAUCCGGUUCUUGCCUGGGGUCCCGCGGCGUACGAGCCGUUUCCGACGAGUCGUGUUGCUUGGGAUUGCAGCACUAAGUGGGUGGUAAAUUCCAUCUAAAGCUAAAUACGGGCAAGAGACCGAUAGCGAACAAGUACCGUGAGGGAAAGAUGAAAAGAACUUUGAAAAGAGAGUUAAAUAGUGCUUGAAAUUGCUGUAAGGGAAGGGGUUGGCACC
RNAcentral lists this ribosomal RNA (255 nucleotides) under Karenia brevis. Its description in RNAcentral is "partial Eukaryotic large subunit ribosomal RNA". It matches the Rfam family "Eukaryotic large subunit ribosomal RNA", at positions 178 to 430 of the family's 3401-position model. Lineage: Eukaryota; Dinophyceae; Gymnodiniales; Kareniaceae. The record is from RNAcentral.